This is a long non-coding RNA of Beta vulgaris subsp. vulgaris (sugar beet), 7344 nucleotides long. RefSeq lists it as uncharacterized. Lineage: Eukaryota; Viridiplantae; Streptophyta; Magnoliopsida; Caryophyllales; Amaranthaceae. The transcript has 2 exons. The record is from RefSeq and is a predicted model, not a curated record.
AAGAUGGGGGAAGGGUGGCUUGGAUGGUGGUUUCAGACGGUUUACCAGUUGUAGUAGGACUGUUUUUAUAAAACAUACUCCAAAGUUGGGGUUAUUGAGAAAUAAUCAAAAGUUAGGUACUAAAAAUGACAUAACGUCCAUAAUUGGGAUGGUGCCUAUUUUAAUUCAAAAAAAACUAGUUGUUGGUUUACCAACAUAUCUCUGAAUUUCAUGAAAGAGUUCAUAAAUUUAUUGAAGUCUUCUAUGCUUUUCAUCAACUAUCAUUGAAAAUUUGAAUUGCUAUUCUCCUUCCUUCUGCCUCUUCUGUUAAGAGGAGUUGUUUUUCUUAUGCAGUUCCUAUAGGUUUUCUGAAUUUGGUAAGAUCAACUAAAAAGUUUGACUUGCGAAUACUGAAAAUCAGGGUUUUGAGCUUGAAAUUAUUUUUAUUCUCCGUGUGCUACUUUGAAGUUCUGUUAGUAUUACUUUUUAUUAGUCACCAUUAUGCUUUGGCACUCAUUGUUUUUAUUUUAUUUUUGAACUGAUACAUAUUAGAAGAUAUGAAUUACUGGAAUGUUUAUAAUUUAGUCAUAUUAUGCUUUUUUGUGGCUCAUGUUCUGAGAUGUAGCUGUGCUUACAUGGAGACAGAAAAUUUAGAAAAAUUGCAAUUCCAAGAGGUUAAAGAAUGACUAGAUGAAACCACAAGGCUGGCUAAGUUAAUAUUGUAUGUGAAAAUUUCGUAGAAGCCAUUCCCGUAUUUUUGGUUUCCUUUUCCCUCUUCUUUAAGGAUUUAGGGGGUUGCGACGUUAAGUUAAUCUUUUUACAAGGUCAAUGAGCCAAGUCAUGUAGCUUAGGGUAGUUCUUUUUGGAUAAGUAGUUGAGGUCUUCAGAACUAGCAGUGCAUUAGUAAUUGAAACGUUUUAAUUCUAAUGCUGUCAAUUUCAAACAAGAGUGCUUUUUGGCAAGCCUUUUAUUUCGGAAAUUCUACAUGGUAACCUUGCAGAGUUGCGGUUUCUAUAUGGAGGACAAAAGAAAAUCAAUCUUCACAAAGUUAUUGAGUACAUUUGUGGAAUUCUGUAAAUUAUUUUCUUUCGUACUCUUUUUUCUCAUUUCCCUUCUCUUCUUUCUAACUACGUGACCAUUGUUUCCACAUUUCUUACCACCACUACCACCUCCGCCUUGAUCAUAUAUGCUCUUCUACCUUUCUGACUUUCGCUAGACCCCUUUUCUGUAGCCCCCUUCCCACUUCCUAUUCCAGAGCCCUUUUCAUGUUUCUCCUUCCUCUUAAGUCACAACUACAACCGCACCGAACCAUGGAAUUGAACUAAUAGUUAGGCGGAGUUGUAACAAAUGUUGGAUUUUCUAUUCCACAAAAGCCUGUUACAAGACGCAGGGUAAAAGUAUGCCCUUCUCUUUGCGUUUGGUUUUGCCACUUUAGAACCUUUUUUUUCUCAUUACAUUGGUUCUUUUGUCAAAUUUGGCCAAAAAUAUUACACUAAUUAAUUUAUAGCUACUGAAGCAUAUUAUUUUAUAUAUAGAGAGAGGUAUUUGUUCACCGAAUGUAUUGACCAUUCAUAUUUUGGUGGGUUUGGUUAAAUAAUAUAGAAAUGUAUACUUUUUGAACACCAAAAUUGCAAAUGAGUUUAAAAAAUCAAUUAAUAUGAACUUUCUACAAAAAUUCAUGUCUUCUUGGGCAUGAUUCGUACCAUUCAUCAGUUACAACUAACAAGCUGUUCCGCACCAACAUGACCGUUACUUAUAACAUGAUUUUUCUUCUUGCACUAAAACCCAGCAGCCAACAAACUGCCUUGUAACUCAAGUGCUUUCUGUGACCACACCGGCAAUCCUACCAUUACUGACAAAGUUGCAAUCAAGCAACAGUGGCACGGAUAUCUAAACAACAGUAGAGAGAGAAAGAAGGAUCACCUAACCUUUGUUGAUGGGAUGAUUUUUUUCGAUAAUGUGGACUGGCUGGGUUUGGUUGUUGAAGCAACGAAAAGGCAAGGGUGUUCGAGAGAUCAAUGCGGAGUGAUAAAAAAUAUAGUAUGGGUGGUGCUAUUUUACGUUAUCGGUUGGGGAGAGUGGUUGUAGUAGGGAAGAAAAGUUGUGUUACAGCUUGUUUGGCAGAAAAGAUUUGGAAGGAAAAGAAAGAAAUUGGAAGGAAAUUUCGUAGUUUCCAAUGUUCAGUUGAAUAAAUAAAUUUAAAUGAAAGAAAAUAGAAGGAAUUGAAAGGAAAUGCUCCUUAAUUAAUUUUCACUUUUCUUUCCUCUCAAAAGUGGGGGAAUUUUGAGAGAGAGAAAAUUUAAAGCAAACAUGGAAAGUUGAGUUUUUUUUUUUUUUUUUUUUUGUUUUCCUUUUUCUUCCUUUCCUUUACCAAAAAUGAACCAACAAGCUGUUAGUGUAUCUGGUGGUGGCCACGGCAGGGGAAUGGUGGGCGGUUCUUGAGGGCAAUAAUGUUUUUUUAGGUGGUGGGGGGGGGGGGGGAGGAGACAUAAAGUACAAUAAGUAUUUCUUUUACUUUUUUCCCUAGAAUAAUUCAUUGAUCUUUUGUGAAAUAAGGUUACAAAGGUACCUCUAAACAAUAGGUUAGGGUUACUUGGUGAUAAAUCGGGUUUCAUCCUCCAUUUUGAAAAUGCAACAAUUCAUUUCACAACAUAUAACUUCUUUUUUUUUUUUUUACUAUUUUCUUUUCCUUACAAGAGGAGAGAUGAAGUACAAUAAGUAUAUCUUUUUUGCUUUUUUUUUUCCUGAAAAUAUUUCAAUGAUCUUUUUGUGAAAUAAAGUUCCAAAGUACCUCUAGACAAUGAGUUAGGCUUACUUGGUCAUUAAUCGGUUUUUAUCUUCCACUUUGAAAAUGCAACAAUUCAUUGUCACCACAUAUAACUUUCCUUUUUUUGAUUUUUAAGACUAUGAGAAUUGUAACUUUAAUACACCUCUUUGCAGUGUGUUAGGUCUUUGUUUAGGAAACAUAUAGGGGAGGUGAAACCGUCACUUUUAUCGGCGUUUGUCAAAUUGCCGACUAUGUCUAGGCGCAAUGCUAGACAUUGGACGAGGCCAUAUUGGUUAAGGUACAUAACUUAUGAGAGUCGCACGUGACUAAGGAGUUAUGCUUGACCCUUACGCGUCCAAGGUGGGUAGCCUAAGAGAUGGGCUAACAUCCAAGGUGUGUACACGUAGUGGGACGUGCAAACGAACUUCGGGGUCGCCCUCAUAAAUCUUGUAUGGUGGUGAUGGAAUUAUCCGUUAAACCAACAUAUAAGGAACCCUAGCAUGACCGUUACACGAAUAUCCACGUUGUGGGAUCAUGGUAGGCGGUUACUAUGCGUUAGUAACCACCCAACAGUUGUAGACCAAGUAGCUUGCUGACUUGGCGGCAGUUACCGAGGCUACAACUAGCGUGGGUCAUGGAGAGCGGUUACCAUGCGUUGGUAACCACCAUACAGUUAUAAAAGGGCACGACUUGGUGACUCGGCGACAGUUACCAAGGCUACAUAGGGUAAAGGAUAAUGAGAUGCGGUUACCAUGUGUUAAUCGCCAAGCACUUGUAAACUAGGAGUUAUGUGACUUGAUGACAAUUACUGACGUGAGUUUAGCGCUGGCGGUUAGUCCCUUAAAAUAAGGAGCAGUUAUUCCUUAUUCUAAGAGGCGGAUAUAGGAAGUUAUCAAGAGGAGUGGGUGGUUAUAUUAACCACCCAUGUUGCCCCAUGCUCCCUUAAAAAAAGGGAACAAUUAUCUAGAGUGUGAGAGGGUAAACUCCUAGAAAGCGGUUACGCUUGACUAAUGAGUAGUUGCGUUUAAGGCCACAUGCGGUUACGCGUGGCUUAGUAGCAGUUCUGUCAAUAGUCAUGGACGGUUACUCUCGGCUCGGUGGGCGGUUACAACUACACAUGUGGGUUGUGCCCUUAGGCUAUUACAACAAGUUGAGCGGACACUUGUACGCUACUGAGCGAGCGGUUACUCGGGACAGUUAGUUAGUGUGUGUGGGAAGUGGCGGUUGAGUAACAACCAUGUUAUAGCCACUUUGUUGUAUUAUAAAUAGUGGCAUUGCCUUAGGCAUUUAGGGAGAGAAUUCAGAUAACACUUUAGCAUUGUAUGAAAGUUGCUAUUAAGAGAUAAAAGCGCUCUCUAUCUCUUAUGUUCUUAUGUGUGCUCUUACUUACAUGAUUCUAACAUAUAAAGCGUGUGAGUGUCAUAGGGUGGUCCACAAACCUUUUGUUGAAUUUUUUUUUUUUGACAAUUUGGUCCAACCUGUCGUAAAAAUCAAAGAUGCUUUCACCAUGAGAACUCCGAAUAGAUACAAUGAAGGUAUUUUGAGUGCCAACUCUUCUCAUAAACAAUCUUGGGUUGCACCAGUCCCAUGGGAUGGAGCAUGAACACAGAGUCAUGUUGGUCAAGCCGAAACAUGAAACUCAAUGGUCGUCGUCUUAAAACCAUAAGUCUUGAACUUAUGUGUUAACCAAGAUCUAAUAAUUACAUAAAAAUGAUCUGCUAAGGUAGGAUGGGGAGAUUCACUAAAGCUGACGCUUGCGAGUGUGUGAUCUCGUAACUUCGGCGAGAUCUGAAGCAUCUACUAAUGGAUAGCGGAAGUAAGAAUGUUUAACCUUGUAUCUUCGAUAAAGUUCGGAGGAUCAAAGGUGAACCUACCUACUCUUUGUAGGAAUAUGAGGGUUUGAUCUCCUUUAUUCGGCGGAGAUCGAAAGAUAGGGAGUGAAAAUACUUGCCUACAAUUUGUAGGUGUGCGAGAGUCUAUCUUCGUAGCGCCAUCGAGGUUUGAGGAGUACAUACUUGCGGCGAGCGAAGUGUGAGGGACUAACCUCAUACGGAGAUACCGGAGCAAGUGUAUCCUCACUCGAGCGGUAAUGAUUUGUCAGAUACUCUUGGUUGAGGAGAGUAGACUGAUCUAAGAGGUGAUUGGCCUCGGAAUGUGGUGUGUCGAGUAUAACAAUGACGAUUGUUGUCAACAUGGUGUUAACGAUGGUUAACCUAAGUCUUGAGGAGAGGGCUUGCAUGUGGUUCCCGGGGCAUAAGCACGCGACUGGAUGACAGGUGAAGGUCAUGAUUCGCACUAAAAGAGACAUGUGAUGGGGAGACUUUUGGAAAAGGGGAAGAUGCCCCUCCUCCGUGGAAAGAGAGGUACCUCGAAUGAUUACUUCUAUUUAUAUGGGAAGUACGCCAUAGAUUCCUAUGUCGGCUUUGAAGGAAAUAAUGGUGAACAGGUUAUGAGAAUUAUCAAUGGUGUCGUUGGCUCGCGAUUAAGGCCACAAGGUGGCUAAGAUCCAAAGUCGACAAGUGUACGAAUGCCAUUGAUUAAGUGAGGAUCAUGAGGGGCAUGGGAUCAAGGAGACUUAUAGUGAGUAAAACAAGUCUGUAAGUGAUGACUACUUGUGAGAAUUCCUGCGAAGGGAAAUCGUACACCUCUCGAUGAAUGUCUCGGUAGUAAAAUUCUAAUGAGGACGUCAGCCUCUAUUUAGUGGUGGAAGUUUGUGACUGUCACUUUUGUUGGCGCUUGUCAAAGAGCCGACUAUGUCUAGGCGCAAUGCUAGACGUUGGACGAGGUCAUGGCGGUUAAGUUACAUAACUCAUGAGAGUCGCACGCGACUAAGGAGUUAUGCUUGACCCUUGCGUGUCCAAGGUGGGUACUCUUAGAGAUGGUUUACCAAGGCUACGCAUGCAAAGGAUAAUGAGAUGCAGUUACCAUGCAUUGGUAAUCGCCUACCGGUUAUAAACUAGGAGGUUUGUGACUUGAUGGCAGUAUUGUUGGCAGUUAGUCCCUUAAAAUAAGGAGCGGUUAUUCCUUAUUCUAAGGGGAGGUUAUGGGAAGUUAUCAAGCGUAGUGAUAUUAACAACCCACACCCAUGUUCCCUUAAAAAGGGGAACGAUAAUCAGGAGUGUGAGGGGGCACACUCAUAUAAUUCAGGAGCGGUUACACUUGACUUAUGAGCGGUUGUGUCUAAGGCCACAAGUGGUUAUGUGUGCUUAGUAGCAGUUGUGUCAAUAGUCAUGGACGGUUACUCUCGGCGUGGUGGGCGGUUACAACUACACUCGUGGGUGGUUGGUUGUGCCCUUGGGCAGUCAUGAUAAACUUGAGCGAACACUUGUACGCUACUAAGCGAGUAGUAACUCAUGGCAGUUAUUUAGUGUGUGAAGGGAAGUGGACGGUUGAGUAACCAUCCACGUUCCUCACCACUCCUGAAAUUAAGCAACCCAAUCAACAAGUUAGUGAGGAUCUCCCACGUUUGGUGAGUGCGAGCAUAAUGGAGAAGUUAGUGGGUGAUUAUCAUAGAGAGUGGGCGGUAGCCACUUUGUUGUAUUAUAAAUGGAGGUCUUGCCUUAGGCAUUUAGGGAGAGAAUUCAUAAAACACUUUAGCAUUGUAUGAAAGUUGCUCUUAAGAAAUAAAAACACUCUAUCUCUUGUGUUCUCGUGUGUGCUCUUACUUACGUGAUUUUAAUGUAUAAAGUGCAUGAGUGUCGUAGGCUGGUCUAGACGUGGUCUAGGCGCCAUCACAUGAACCUCUUAGUGCGAAAAAGGAGGUAUUCAAAGAAUUUUCUGUGACAAGAGGGAAUAGGGGAGGGACUAGGAAGGGGUUUAAGGAUAGGAGUGCACUUGCAAUCUUCUUUCUAAUUUUUUUCUUAAAUCUCAAUAGGAUUUGGCUUAUUUGAAGGACGAGGGAAAUGGAUUUUUAGGGAAUGAUUUCUUGCUUGCCACCCCCUUUUCUAUUCAAUUGUUAUUUUCCAUUAGGUGACUUACACCGUUACACACAUGUUAAAGGAGAAUCAUGUGAUAUGGAGAGAGAUAGAGGGUGAUUCGAGAAAGUGCCCAUAAGGAGAGAUAUAGAGUGCCAACGUAAUGAGAACAGAUAUAUGGAGAAACUACAUACCAACCAAAUAAGGUAUGUUCAUUGUUGUGACUGGAGGAACUAUUAUUGUUUCCUCCUUUCUUUUUCUCAAAAUGAAUAAAGAACAAGCAAAAUCACCAAUGUGAUGAGAAGAGAGAAAUGGAGAAACUACAUACCAGCCAAAUCAGGUAUAUGCUUUUGAGUCUCAACAACGUUUUUUGAGGAACGGGAUAUGUUUUUGAUGAUCGUUUGUACUGUCUGAAGAAACAAUUCUAUUCUUCAUAGAUUUGUUGUAUUUUCCAGCAGAAAUGAAGUAAAAAUUAUAAGCCAAUUGAGUGCUUUGGCUACUAUACAUAAUAGAAGUGCCAAUGUAUAUGCUUUUGAUUCACGGUUUUGUAAAGAUCUUGGGACAUGAAGUGAUGUAAGAAUUGAAGAUUCUUUUGAGACAAGUCACAAUUUCGCAUGAAUCUAGUAACACGAUAACACCUGGUGUUUAAGGUGUAUAUAUUGAUUUUAAUGCAAUAUUUUCUAA